CCUACGGAGUUGCUGCAGUGGGGAAUAUUGGACAAUGGGCGAAAGCCUGAUCCAGCCAUGCCGCGUGUGUGAAGAAGGCCUUCGGGUUGUAAAGCACUUUCAGUGGGGAAGAAAGCCUUGGGGCUAAUACCCUCGAGGAAGGACAUCACCCACAGAAGAAGCACCGGCUAACUCCGUGCCAGCAGCCGCGGUAAUACGGAGGGUGCGAGCGUUAAUCGGAAUUACUGGGCGUAAAGCGCGCGUAGGCGGUCUGAUAAGCCGGUUGUGAAAGCCCCGGGCUCAACCUGGGAACGGCAUCCGGAACUGUCAGGCUAGAGUGCAGGAGAGGAAGGUAGAAUUCCCGGUGUAGCGGUGAAAUGCGUAGAGAUCGGGAGGAAUACCAGUGGCGAAGGCGGCCUUCUGGACUGACACUGACGCUGAGGUGCGAAAGCGUGGGUAGCAAACAGGAUUAGAUACCCCGGUAGUC
RNAcentral lists this ribosomal RNA (466 nucleotides) under Vreelandella stevensii. RNAcentral's name for it is "partial 16S ribosomal RNA". It matches the Rfam family "Bacterial small subunit ribosomal RNA", at positions 338 to 795 of the family's 1533-position model. The record is from RNAcentral. Lineage: Bacteria; Pseudomonadati; Pseudomonadota; Gammaproteobacteria; Oceanospirillales; Halomonadaceae.